RNAcentral lists this ribosomal RNA (254 nucleotides) under uncultured bacterium. Its description in RNAcentral is "partial 16S ribosomal RNA". It matches the Rfam family "Bacterial small subunit ribosomal RNA", at positions 524 to 777 of the family's 1533-position model. The record is from RNAcentral.
UACGGAGGGGGCUAGCGUUGUUCGGAAUUACUGGGCGUAAAGGGCGCGUAGGCGGCCUGCUAAGUCGGAUGUGAAAUCCCUCGGCUCAACCGAGGAACUGCAUCCGAUACUGGCGGGCUUGAAUCCGGGAGAGGGAUGUGGAAUUCCAGGUGUAGCGGUGAAAUGCGUAGAUAUCUGGAGGAACACCGGUGGCGAAGGCGGCAUCCUGGACCGGUAUUGACGCUGAGGCGCGAAAGCUAGGGGAGCAAACGGGG